Molecule: ribosomal RNA, 492 nt
Filed under: uncultured bacterium
Lineage: Bacteria
Description: partial 16S ribosomal RNA
Rfam family: Bacterial small subunit ribosomal RNA
Source: RNAcentral
AGUGAACGCUGGCGGUAUGCCUAACACAUGCAAGUCGAACGGCAGCACAGUAAGAUCUUGCUCUUACGGGUAGCGAGUGGCGGACGGGUGAGGAAUACAUCGGAAUCUACUUUUUCGUGGGGGAUAACGUAGGGAAACUUACGCUAAUACCGCAUACGACCUACGGGUGAAAGCAGGGGAUCUUCGGACCUUUCGCGAUUGAAUGAGCCGAUGCCGGAUUAGCUAGUUGGCGUGGUAAAGGCCCACCAAGGCGACGAUCCGUAGCUGGUCUGAGAGGAUGAUCAGCCACACUGGAACUGAGACACGGUCCAGACUCCUACGGGAGGCAGCAGUGGGGAAUAUUGGACAAUGGGCGCAAGCCUGAUCCAGCCAUACCGCGUGGGUGAAGAAGGCCUUCGGGUUGUAAAGCCCUUUUGUUGGGAAAGAAAAGAAGCAGGUUAAUACCCCGCUGUUCUGACGGUACCCAAAGAAUAAGCACCGGCUAACUUCGUG